AUUGAACGCUGGCGGCAUGCCUUACACAUGCAAGUCGAGCGGUAACAGGUCUUCGGAUGCUGACGAGUGGCGAACGGGUGAGUAAUACAUCGGAACGUGCCUAGUAGUGGGGGAUAACUACUCGAAAGAGUGGCUAAUACCGCAUGAGAUCUACGGAUGAAAGCAGGGGAUCGCAAGACCUUGUGCUACUAGAGCGGCCGAUGGCAGAUUAGGUAGUUGGUGGGAUAAAAGCUUACCAAGCCGACGAUCUGUAGCUGGUCUGAGAGGACGAUCAGCCACACUGGGACUGAGACACGGCCCAGACUCCUACGGGAGGCAGCAGUGGGGAAUGUUGGACAAUGGGCGAAAGCCUGAUCAAGCAAUGCCGCGUGCAGGGUGAAGGCCUUCGGGUUGUAAACUGCUUUUGUACGGAACGAAAAGCCCCGGGUUAAUACCCUGGGGUCAUGACGGUACCGUAAGAAUAAGCACCGGCUAACUACGUGCCAGCCGCCGCGGUAA
Molecule: ribosomal RNA, 498 nt
Filed under: uncultured bacterium
Lineage: Bacteria
Description: partial 16S ribosomal RNA
Rfam family: Bacterial small subunit ribosomal RNA
Source: RNAcentral